ACACAUGCAGUCGAGCGGAAACGAGUUAUCUGAACCUUCGGGGAACGAUAACGGCGUCGAGCGGCGGACGGGUGAGUAAUGCCUAGGAAAUUGCCCUGAUGUGGGGGAUAACCAUUGGAAACGAUGGCUAAUACCGCAUGAUGCCUACGGGCCAAAGAGGGGGACCUUCGGGCCUCUCGCGUCAGGAUAUGCCUAGGUGGGAUUAGCUAGUUGGUGAGGUAAGGGCUCACCAAGGCGACGAUCCCUAGCUGGUCUGAGAGGAUGAUCAGCCACACUGGAACUGAGACACGGUCCAGACUCCUACGGGAGGCAGCAGUGGGGAAUAUUGCACAAUGGGCGCAAGCCUGAUGCAGCCAUGCCGCGUGUGUGAAGAAGGCCUUCGGGUUGUAAAGCACUUUCAGUCGUGAGGAAGGUGGUGUAGUUAAUAGCUGCAUUAUUUGACGUUAGCGACAGAAGAAGCACCGGCUAACUCCGUGCCAGCAGCCGCGGUAAUACGGAGGGUGCGAGCGUUAAUCGGAAUUACUGGGCGUAAAGCGCAUGCAGGUGGUUUGUUAAGUCAGAUGUGAAAGCCCGGGGCUCAACCUCGGAAUAGCAUUUGAAACUGGCAGACUAGAGUACUGUAGAGGGGGGUAGAAUUUCAGGUGUAGCGGUGAAAUGCGUAGAGAUCUGAAGGAAUACCGGUGGCGAAGGCGGCCCCCUGGACAGAUACUGACACUCAGAUGCGAAAGCGUGGGGAGCAAACAGGAUUAGAUACCCUGGUAGUCCACGCCGUAAACGAUGUCUACUUGGAGGUUGUGGCCUUGAGCCGUGGCUUUCGGAGCUAACGCGUUAAGUAGACCGCCUGGGGAGUACGGUCGCAAGAUUAAAACUCAAAUGAAUUGACGGGGGCCCGCACAAGCGGUGGAGCAUGUGGUUUAAUUCGAUGCAACGCGAAGAACCUUACCUACUCUUGACAUCCAGAGAACUUUCCAGAGAUGGAUU
This 981-nucleotide ribosomal RNA is filed under the name Vibrio sp. CIFRI V-TSB11. RNAcentral describes it as "bacterial SSU rRNA". It matches the Rfam family "Bacterial small subunit ribosomal RNA", at positions 51 to 1012 of the family's 1533-position model. Lineage: Bacteria; Pseudomonadati; Pseudomonadota; Gammaproteobacteria; Vibrionales; Vibrionaceae. The record is from RNAcentral.